GCAACUGAAGAUUUAUUUGAAUUCCAUUGAAACAACAAUUUUUCUGUCAUGGAAUUCUUCCUGGAUUUGGUUUGCUUAUCACACCUGCAAACUCUGGAAUGUCACAGUCUACAUUUAAUAAUUAAGGAUAAAAACUCGGAAUGACAUGUGUUAUAAAACAUUGGUUGCUUGUUCACUCUGUAAAGUAGCAGUACCUACAGUCCUGAAGAAAGCGUGAAGGUGCUUAUUUGCAUUGGGAAUUGAGACAAUGUGUUAUUGUACGAGGAAGGAUUUAUGACAUGAAUUGAUUGAAGAUAAACAAGUGAGGUGAUUGAAGUUCGUUUUGAUGCUACUGAAAACACAAGUCGUCUCCCUCCUAUGGCAUUUUAUCUGUUAACUUUUCUUCUUGGAGGCUCUUUUAGUUAAUUAAUUAAGAAACAUUGAAAUAAUUCGAGAUGCCGUUCAAUUAUGGAGCUUUGAUUGUGUCAGUCCUUCAUCUCUUCCGAAAGUAGCUGUACCUAUGGUCCUAAAGAAAGCAUGAAAAUGCGAUCAUUUCAUCGGGAAUGGAGACAGUGUGCUGUUGCUGAAGAAAGGAUUUGUGGCAAUGAACUGAUUGCCCAUUAAAUGAGAAGGAAUUGCAGUGAAUUUUGGUGCUACUGAAACAACCGAUUGUUUUGAUGUCUUCACCUUGCAACAUUCUGCAGUUAAUGAGAAUAGAAUGCAAUUGGAAAUUGUUUGGAAGCCACUGAAACGACAAAUUGUCAGCUGUGAUAUCUCUUCUAGAUUUGGUUUGCUCUUCAUACUGGUAAAUUUUAGAACACUACUUUCUACAGUUAAUUAAGAUCGUUCAAGAAAUGAGAUGGAAUUAAAGUUCAGUUUGAUAAUACUGAAACAACCAGUGUACAUGGGUGUGGUCUUUCAUGAACUAUCUUCAUGAUGUGCUGUUUUCGUCUUCGCCUUGCAACAUUGUGCAGUUAAUUUUCAACCGAUGGGUGAGAAAAACUGGAUAAUUCCACUCGAAUAACAAAUUUUCUGCAGUGGUAUUCCUCCUGGAUUGGGAUUGUUUUUCACACCUGCAAUUUUUGUAACGUUGCAGUCUAUAAUUAAUUAAGGUGAGAAUACUUGAUAUAAUCAAUUUUAAUUACUCUUUAUUAAUCUGUUACCACCGUAUCU
Agrilus planipennis (emerald ash borer) is the source of this 1152-nucleotide long non-coding RNA. RefSeq lists it as uncharacterized. The transcript is spliced from 6 exons. Lineage: Eukaryota; Metazoa; Arthropoda; Insecta; Coleoptera; Buprestidae. The record is from RefSeq and is a predicted model, not a curated record.